UGGUGGAGUGAUUUGUCUGGUUAAUUCCGAUAACGAACGAGACCUCAGCCUGCUAAUUAGUGAUGCAAAUGAUUACGUCCGCAAGGAGAGGGUUUCUGUAAGCGCAUUGGGUUUGACUUGGUGAUCUUACAGAAAAACUUGUUUUCAUUUGUUAGAGUUUUGAUUUCUUCGGAGUGACGAACUCGAUAAUGACUUCUUAGAGGGACACUUGGUGUUUAACCAGGGGAAGUUUGAGGCAAUAACA
This 244-nucleotide ribosomal RNA is filed under the name uncultured eukaryote. RNAcentral's name for it is "partial 18S ribosomal RNA". It matches the Rfam family "Eukaryotic small subunit ribosomal RNA", at positions 1299 to 1458 of the family's 1831-position model. The record is from RNAcentral.